RNAcentral lists this transfer RNA (85 nucleotides) under Felis catus (domestic cat). It matches the Rfam family "tRNA". Rfam says of the family: Transfer RNA (tRNA) molecules are approximately 80 nucleotides in length. Their secondary structure includes four short double-helical elements and three loops (D, anti-codon, and T loops). Further hydrogen bonds mediate the characteristic L-shaped molecular structure. tRNAs have two regions of fundamental functional importance: the anti-codon, which is responsible for specific mRNA codon recognition, and the 3' end, to which the tRNAs corresponding amino acid is attached (by aminoacyl-tRNA synthetases). tRNAs cope with the degeneracy of the genetic code in two manners: having more than one tRNA (with a specific anti-codon) for a particular amino acid; and 'wobble' base-pairing, i.e. permitting non-standard base-pairing at the 3rd anti-codon position. The record is from Rfam by way of RNAcentral. Lineage: Eukaryota; Metazoa; Chordata; Mammalia; Carnivora; Felidae. RNAcentral also lists the same sequence under 1 other name.
GCCUGGGUGGCUCAGUCGGUUAAGCGUCUGACUUUGGCUCAGGUCAUGAUCUCAUGGUUCGUGGGUUUGAGCCCCGCGUCGGGCU